UGCCAUAUGGCCUAGUGGUUAGCACGUUCGACUAACACCUCUAGAGACGGGGGUUUGAUUCCGACUGUGGCCC
Non-coding RNA from Ameiurus melas (black bullhead), 73 nucleotides. The record is from the annotation of a GenBank genome assembly. Lineage: Eukaryota; Metazoa; Chordata; Actinopteri; Siluriformes; Ictaluridae.